CCCAUUUUUAAAAACCUAGGAGCUUCACUUUUCUCCUCUUUUCCUUAUAUAUCUCUCUAAUAUCACAUAUCUUUCUCUCUUAUGUCCCCACCUACCUCAUUUUAUUCUUGGCAUCCAUGCACACCACUCUUGAUUUUUGUAUAUAUGAGUGCAUUUUCAUGGAGCUUUAUUAUAAGUCUUCACCUCUUAUUCCUUUAGUCCAUCUAGAUGGGACUAUGUAGGAUGAAGGAUUAAAAUCUUCUCAUCAUUGGAUCUACUUUUGAAUACUCUAAAAAAUGAAGCUUAGUGAAAUGAUCCUCAAGUACCAGCUGAUCUUUGAAGAUGUUGAUGCUUUGCACAUGAAUGAAGAGAAUGACUAACAUGAAAAUGAAGGAGCCCCAUUGGUUCGGACUUUCCUGUUCCCUUCCAAGCCAGUUUUGAUAGAGAAUCAUGCAGCAGCAACCCCCAAGUACUCAAAACAUGCAUACUCAUUAUUCAAACCAAAAUUCAAUCAUCUUUUGUCUAAACUAGGAGUUGUCAGCAUUCACUCUCUAACGUGAGGAAAAUGUUGAAAAUAUUUUGGGUUAAUAAUGUAUU
Lupinus albus (white lupine) is the source of this 576-nucleotide non-coding RNA. The record is from the annotation of a GenBank genome assembly. NCBI's taxonomy places the organism in Eukaryota, Viridiplantae, Streptophyta, Magnoliopsida, Fabales, Fabaceae.